Molecule: ribosomal RNA, 293 nt
Filed under: uncultured Methylophilaceae bacterium
Lineage: Bacteria; Pseudomonadati; Pseudomonadota; Betaproteobacteria; Nitrosomonadales; Methylophilaceae
Description: partial 16S ribosomal RNA
Rfam family: Bacterial small subunit ribosomal RNA
Source: RNAcentral
GUGUCAGCAGCCGCGGUAAUACGUAGGGUGCAAGCGUUAAUCGGAAUUACUGGGCGUAAAGCGUGCGCAGGCGGUUUUGUAAGUCAGAUGUGAAAUCCCCGAGCUCAACUUGGGAACUGCGUUUGAAACUACAAGGCUAGAGUAUGGUAGAGGGGGGGUAGAAUUCCACGUGUAGCAGUGAAAUGCGUAGAGAUGUGGAGGAAUACCAAUGGCGAAGGCAGCCCCCUGGACUAAUACUGACGCUCAUGCACGAAAGCGUGGGGAGCAAACAGGAUUAGAAACCCCCGUAGUCC